AGCUGACUCUUGUGAGGCUAUGCUGG
Molecule: unclassified non-coding RNA, 26 nt
Filed under: Mus musculus (house mouse)
Lineage: Eukaryota; Metazoa; Chordata; Mammalia; Rodentia; Muridae
Description: oocyte_clustered_small_RNA10822
Source: RNAcentral